Molecule: microRNA precursor, 84 nt
Filed under: Bombyx mori (domestic silkworm)
Lineage: Eukaryota; Metazoa; Arthropoda; Insecta; Lepidoptera; Bombycidae
Description: mir-2807 microRNA precursor family
Rfam family: mir-2807 microRNA precursor family
Source: Rfam by way of RNAcentral
UGGAGGUUAGGUGGUAUGGAGCUGGAACGCUUGCCUACGUAUGCCGCUAGGGGCGCUGUUCCAACCACAUACAAAUUUGAGUGA